UUCCCCCCCUCAGGAGAUGGAACAAAGCUCAGCCCAACAACUCCUGAUCCUAUUCCGGGACGGGGGCUGCCAAUUCCGGGGCGUUUACGCUUUGGGGGGGAUCCCCCCGACCCUAAAACGCCUUUCGGGGUCGGGACCCCGCAGCGUCCCCCUGCCCAUGGUGGAGGCUCUGUACAAAUACCAGUCGGACCAGCGGCGCUUCUGCCGCCUCCCGGCACGCACCAUGAGCGGCAGCGUGGACGCCUUCACCAUCCCCGGCCACCUCUGGCACCCCAAAAAACCCGGCACCCCAAAAUAAACCGGGGGUGAAACCCCAAAAAAAUUGGGGAGACCCCAAAUCUGAUCCCACUCUGCACUCGGUGUUUGGUGGAUGGGGACUUUUGGGGACUUUCGGGUACUUUUGGGGACAUUUGGGGACUUUUGGGGACAUUUGGGGGAUAUUUGGGGACAUUGAUGGGAUGUCUUCACCAUCCCCGGCCACCUCUGGCACCCCAAAAAACCCGGCACCCCAAAAUAAACCGGGGGUGAAACCCCAAAAAAAUUGGGGAGACCCCAAAUCUGAUCCCACUCUGAACUCGGUGUUUGGUGCUUGGAGACUUUUGGGGACUUUUGGGGACUUUGGGGGACAAUUGGGGGACACUUGAGGACAUUGGGGUGACUCUGAAGGGGUUGAGGGGAUGUCUUCACCAUCCCCGGCCACCUCUGGCACCCCAAAAAACCCGGCACCCCAAAAUAAACCGGGGGUGAAACCCCAAAAAAAUUGGGGAGACCCCAAAUCUGAUCCCACUCUGCACUCGGUGUUUGGUGGAUGGGGACUUUUGGGGACUUUCGGGUACUUUUGGGGACAUUUGGGGACUUUUGGGGACAUUUGGGGGAUAUUUGGGGACAUUGAUGGGAUGUCUUCACCAUCCCCGGCCACCUCUGGCACCCCAAAAAACCCGGCACCCCAAAAUAAACCGGGGGUGAAACCCCAAAAAAAAAUUGGGGAGACCCCAAAUCUGAUCCCACUCUCAACUCGGUGUUUGGUGCUUGGAGACUUCCGGGGACUUCCGGGUACUUUUGGGGACAUUUGGGGACUUUUGGGGACAUUUGGGGGAUAUUUGGGGACAUUGAUGGGAUGUCUUCACCAUCCCCGGCCACCUCUGGCACCCCAAAAAACCCGGCACCCCAAAAUAAACCGGGGGUGAAACCCCAAAAAACGGGGAGAGACCCCAAAUCUGAUCCCACUCAACUCUGUGUUCGGUGGAUGGGGAAUUUUGGGGACUUUUGGGGACUUUUGGGGACAAUUGGGGGACACUUGAGGACAUUGGGGUGACACUGAAGAGGUUGAGGGGACGCCUUCACCAUCCUCGGGCACCUCUGGCACCCCAAAAACCCCGGCACCCCCAAAUCAACCGGGUUCGAAGCCCCCAAAACCCGUCGGGACCCAGGGUGGGGACACGGGGACAGAGCCGCGCUCGGCGACAACGCCACGGUUUAUUGCCUCGGCGACAUGUCGCGACAUCCCGGCGACAUUCCGCGUCACACGCUGGUGGCCUGGGCGUCGUCGCCGGGCUCGUCGCAGCCCCUCGGGGACACGGGGACAGCGCGGGGAUGUCCCCAAGUCCUGCGCAGCUCCCGCUCCAGCCCCGAGAGCCGCCGCUCCUGCGAGGACACGGGGGGACACCGCGGGGUCACCUCGGGGUCACCGCGGGGUCACCUCGGGGACACCUCGGGGUCACCCAGUGUCCCCCCUGUCCCCAUCCCAGUCUCACCAGUUCCCGGCCCUUCUCCUCGCUGGUUUUCAGCCGCUCCAGGUCUUUCCUGCGGGUCCCUUCGGCCGCCGUCAGCCUGGGGGGGGCGGUGGGACCCCGAAUUGGGACCCCAAAUUGGGACCCCAAACUGGGACCUCAAAUUUCGGGGCGCUUUCCCC
This 1912-nucleotide long non-coding RNA is filed under the name Cyanistes caeruleus (blue tit). RNAcentral's name for it is "lncRNA (ENSCCEG00000009048.1)". Lineage: Eukaryota; Metazoa; Chordata; Aves; Passeriformes; Paridae. The record is from RNAcentral.